UACAGUAUCGUUGGUUCAACGGCAGCGG
Molecule: non-coding RNA, 28 nt
Filed under: Bombyx mori (domestic silkworm)
Lineage: Eukaryota; Metazoa; Arthropoda; Insecta; Lepidoptera; Bombycidae
Source: RNAcentral